This is a long non-coding RNA of Cucurbita moschata (crookneck pumpkin), 655 nucleotides long. RefSeq lists it as uncharacterized. The transcript is spliced from 2 exons. The record is from RefSeq and is a predicted model, not a curated record. Lineage: Eukaryota; Viridiplantae; Streptophyta; Magnoliopsida; Cucurbitales; Cucurbitaceae.
UGGAAUGCUACCUUGUUGAUCCUGCCAAUAGUCAUAUGCUUGUCUCAAAGAUUAAGCCAUGCAUGUGUAAGUAUGAACUAAUUCAGACUAUGAAACUGCGAAUGGCUCAUUAAAUCAGUUAUAGUUUGUUUGAUGGUAUUUGCUACUCGGAUAACCGUAGUAAUUCUAAAGCUAAUACGUGCAACAAACCCCGAUUUCUGGAAGGGAUGCAUUUAUUGGAUAAAAGGCCGACGCGAGCUCUGCCCGUUGCUCUGAUGAUUCAUGAUAAUUCGACGGAUCGCACGGCCAUCGUGCCGGCGACGCAACAUUCAAAUUUCUGCCCUAUCAACUUUCGAUGGUAGGAUAUGGCCUACUAUGGUGGUGACGGGUGACGGAGAAUUAGGGUUUGAUUCCGGAGAGGGAGCCUGAGAAACGGCUACCACAUCCAAGGAAGGCAGCAGGCGCGCAAAUUACCCAAUCCUAACACAGGGAGGUAGUGACAAUAAAUAACAAUACCGGGCUCUUCGAGUCUGGUAAUUGGAAUGAGUACAAUCUAAAUCCCUUAACGAGGAUCAAUUGGAGGGCAAGUCUGGUGCCAGCAGCCGCGGUAAUUCCAGCUCCAAUAGCGUAUAUUUAAGUUGUUGCAGUUAAAAAGCUCGUAGUUGGACCUUGGGUU